This 1009-nucleotide long non-coding RNA is filed under the name Oryza sativa (Asian cultivated rice). RNAcentral's name for it is "long non-coding RNA (OSAT_LNC001105)". Lineage: Eukaryota; Viridiplantae; Streptophyta; Magnoliopsida; Poales; Poaceae. The record is from RNAcentral.
UGCUCCGGGCCAAGGUGAGCCAGCCCCACCGCCGCAGCAUUCGCCGGCGAGGCGAACGACGAGGAGGAGGGAGGCAGGGGAGGGAGCUCCGAGAAGGAGGUGGUGGUGUUCGUCGUCGUCGUCGGAGGUGGAACAAUGGCGGCGUAGGACGAAGAAGCAGGGAGGUAGUACGAUUCUUGCGGCAAUGGAGACGAGUAGGAGAAGGGAGUGGUGGUGGUGGUGGAGAUGGAGCUAGAGGAGUAGAACAAUGGCGUGGAGGUGGAGGUGGAGGUGGGUGAAGCGCUCCUGAUAAAAGGUUCGAGCGCUUUCAUGAGCUCCUGAUCCGAGGAAGAAGACGAGGACGAGGAGCUCAGCUGAUACUUGUACAAAUCUAUGGCCGCCAUUAGCAACAACACUAAAGGCUACCAAGAACUAAAAGAAAAAAAAGUUUUGUUUUGUGCAGAAUCUGAACUAAAAUAAUUGAUUGAUUAAGCCCUGUUUCUUCAAAAAAAGCGAAGAACAGGGGUGGUUCUUGCAGAGCCUGGAUGAAAGGGGCCUGUAAAAACGACCCUUCCUGGCUUGCUAAAGCUUAAAAAAAAAAGAAGAAAUCUUAAAUCUAAACAGAAACAAAAGCUAGAAACAUGGACAAGAAUGAAUCCAAGAGGGAGAAAAAAAGUUCUCUGGAUCUCUGUUCUUCCUGAGAAGAAGAAGAUUGUACUGUCGAAAGAAAGCUGAGAAUCUCACACCCAAGGAACACUUUCUUGAUCAAAUACCCCAAGAAAGGUCCCCUUCCAAAACUAAAAAAGAACAAAUGCUUCCUUUCUUGAAACCUUUUUGUCACCUGCUGCUUCUACCAAGGAUCAGAGUUCAGAGAACAAACCUGCUGCCGCCGUCGCCGGCGACGAUUGGGUGCCUCGUCGUGGAUCGCUCAGCCUCACCGGGGAAGUGGAGUGGGUUUGGGUUGGGGAGAAGGCUUGGCUGUGGUGGGGUUUGGUGGCGUGUGUGGGGGGCGGAGGAGGAGGAGGAGGCG